UUGGGAACAAAAGUUUAUAUGUAAAAUAGAUUUGAAAACAUUUUUUUAACGGCGUUGUACAUAUUUUUUUUUUUUUCAAUCUAGUAAUAUAUGUCUAUUUUGGAAAAUUAAAAUUUCAACAUAUGUAAAAAAAAUGUUGAAUUUGUAUUAUACAUUUGUAUUAUAUAUUGUAAUAUAAUAAAUUUAAAAUAAGAACACAUAAAUUUAAAAGGAGAAUUAUUUUUAAUUAGUUAGAGAAAUAUUAGGAAAUCAAAUAUUAG
RNAcentral lists this long non-coding RNA (260 nucleotides) under Capsella rubella. RNAcentral's name for it is "long non-coding RNA (CRUB_LNC002623)". Lineage: Eukaryota; Viridiplantae; Streptophyta; Magnoliopsida; Brassicales; Brassicaceae. The record is from RNAcentral.